ACAGGAGAAGAAUGGGCUGGGUGAGAGGACAAACAGGAGAACAAAAAAGGAAAGAAAAGCAAAGAAAAGCCCUCCCCGGGUCCAGCGGGAUCAGGCCUGGAGGACUGUGGCUCGGCCCCGAGGCCAGAUGCCCAGGAGGAGUGCUGCAUCCACAGGGCGGGAGAGGGACAGGACAGGUGACACCCGGCUGCGGACCCGCCAAGGGGUCCGACGGCCACUGUUGGCUAAGAGCCCUCCAGUGAUCAAGAGGCGGGGGAGGGAAGAGGCUGGAGGCGCAGGCGUCCUGGAGGGGUCCCCAGGACCCGGCGCUGCUCUAAAGGGCCUGUCUCCCUGGCCCAUCCGGGUACCCAGAAUUGGGGUGGUCCUGAGUGGGAUCCGUGUCCCGAAGCAGCCUGCGCGCCCGAGCUGGCGAGCGGGCAGGCGACCUUGGGAGCCGCCGGCCUGCCAGAUGCUCAGCUGUGAUUGCUCUAGUGGACCUCUGUCAUGUCUACUCUCCUCCACAUCUCCUCUUCCCAAACCCCUGACUUUCCUUCAGGCUUUGAAGACACCCCAUUACCACCUUCUAUAAGGAUGAGUCUUCUAGAGGGCCACGCCCUGGUUUUAAAGAUAGAAAGAUUGGAGGCACAUGGGCCCUAAUGACUCUCCUGUGAUUCCACGGCCAGUAAAUGAUAGCACCAGCAUUAGAAGCCACGUCUAUGCCACACUGCCUUUAAUGACAACAUGGACCCAGAUACUCCCCCAAAAGAACCAACGAGAAGGCAAAGAAGUUUUCCAGC
RNAcentral lists this long non-coding RNA (776 nucleotides) under Mus pahari (shrew mouse). RNAcentral's name for it is "RIKEN cDNA 1700039E22 gene (MGP_PahariEiJ_G0002246.1)". The record is from RNAcentral. Lineage: Eukaryota; Metazoa; Chordata; Mammalia; Rodentia; Muridae.